GAGGGAGGGGGUCUUGCCUCAUUUCUGUCAGGUGGGGGUGAAAGUCCAGGUGCCAUUGGCCCUUGAGGAGGCGGGGCUCCUUGUUAGUGCCAGGUGGGUGGGAGUGGGAAUCCGUGCUCCCACUAGGCCUCUAUUGGUAGCACCCAGGCUGGGAGAGAGGCAUCUUGCUAGUGUUCCUCAAGUAAUCUUCACUGCCAACAAGGAGGGGAGGGAGCGGACGGCAAUUGAGACAUCUGACUUCCCCUUGACUUCCUCUAACACUGGCAGAUGUUCAGACGUGUCCAGAGUUUCUUCCUUCUGAUGGGUUCGUCAUCUCGCUGACUUCAGGAGUAAAGCCGCAGACCUUCGCAGUGAACAUUACAGCUCUUAAAAGUGGCGUGUCCAGAGUUAUUUGUUCCUCCUGGUGGGUUCGUGGUCUCGCUGACUUCAGGAGUGAAGCCACAGACCUCCGCGGCAUUUUGGGAGUCCCUGCUGUGUGCUGGGAAUCAUAUUAGAUACCAGAGAUGAGUACAAGAUACAGUUCCUACAGUUCCUGCAAUUUAGGAGCUUGACAUGGAGACAUCCCCAUCCCAAUCCAUGGCCCCUCUUCAGAUGUUCAGAUUUCUGGCCACACGACAUUCUAUUCAAUGACCAUGCAGCCUGGUGUCACUCGCUGCCCCUGCUCUGCACCCGCCUGCCACCAGAUAUCAGGUCAGAGUUUUGUCAGGCCUCUGAGCCGAAGCUCGGCCAUUAUAACCCCUGUGACCUGCACAUAUCCGUCUAGAUGGCCUGCAGGAGCCAAGAAGUCUGGAGCAGCCAAAGAAAAACUACAAAGAAGUAAAACAGCCAGUCCCUGCCUUAACUGAGUAAAAUUACAAUAUUUUACUAUCGUGACUUGUCCCUGCCCUAUCUUAGUUGAUCAUUUGACUUUGUGACAUUCUUCUUCUGGACAAUAAGUCUUAUGAUCUCUCCACCAUGUACCUUGCAACCCUCUCCUCUGCUAACAGUAAAUAACUACCUUUUAUUGUAAUUUUCCAUUACCUACCCAACUCCUAUAAAGCAACCGCUUCCCCAUCUCCCUUCGCUGACUGUCUUUUCGGACUCAGCCCACUUGCACCCAAGUGAAUAAACAGCUUUAUUGCUCACGCAAAGCCUGUUUGGUGGUCUCUUCACACGGACGUGCUUGACAUUAUUAUUACUCAAAUCAGUCUCCCCAAUUAUUUGGGAACAGAGUCUUUUGUUUG
RNAcentral lists this long non-coding RNA (1223 nucleotides) under Homo sapiens (human). Its description in RNAcentral is "HSALNT0121247". The record is from RNAcentral. Lineage: Eukaryota; Metazoa; Chordata; Mammalia; Primates; Hominidae.